GACGAACGCUGGCGGCGUGCCUAAUACAUGCAAGUCGAACGCUUCUUUCCUCCCGAGUGCUUGCACUCCAUUGGAAAGAGGAGUGGCGGACGGGUGAGUAACACGUGGGUAACCUACCCAUCAGAGGGGGAUAACACUUGGAAACAGGUGCUAAUACCGCAUAACAGUUUAUGCCGCAUGGCAUAAGAGUGAAAGGCGCUUUCGGGUGUCGCUGAUGGAUGGACCCGCGGUGCAUUAGCUAGUUGGUGAGGUAACGGCUCACCAAGGCCACGAUGCAUAGCCGACCUGAGAGGGUGAUCGGCCACACUGGGACUGAGACACGGCCCAGACUCCUACGGGAGGCAGCAGUAGGGAAUCUUCGGCAAUGGACGAAAGUCUGACCGAGCAACGCCGCGUGAGUGAAGAAGGUUUUCGGAUCGUAAAACUCUGUUGUUAGAGAAGAACAAGGACGUUAGUAACUGAACGUCCCCUGACGGUAUCUAACCAGAAAGCCACGGCUAACUACGU
This 507-nucleotide ribosomal RNA is filed under the name uncultured bacterium. Its description in RNAcentral is "partial 16S ribosomal RNA". It matches the Rfam family "Bacterial small subunit ribosomal RNA", at positions 28 to 506 of the family's 1533-position model. The record is from RNAcentral.